Long non-coding RNA from Camellia sinensis, 332 nucleotides. RefSeq lists it as uncharacterized. The record is from RefSeq and is a predicted model, not a curated record. NCBI's taxonomy places the organism in Eukaryota, Viridiplantae, Streptophyta, Magnoliopsida, Ericales, Theaceae.
GAAAGACAAAAAAGAAGAAAAGAAAGAGACGAAAGGAAGGAAAAAAAUAGACAAAGAAACGAGAGAAAGAAAGACAAAAAAGAAGAAAAGAAAGAGAUGAAAGGAAGGAAAAAAAUAGUGAAAGUUUAAAGGGUCUUUGAUAGUAGAAAUGGAUAGUAAGGUAUUAAAGUUAAGGAAACAAUGAAAUUCAGAAAUAGCCUUUGGAGAGUCUUGGAUACGGGGCUGCGGAAUACACACACAGCACUUUUAUUGAUAUUUUUCUAUGUAAAUAUCGGCCUUUUUGGUCAAUAAAUUUUAUAAUAAAAAUAGAAAUUCCAGUGAUUAUUUUGAUA